ACACUCCUGCGGGAGGCAGCAGUGGGGAAUUUUGGACAAUGGGCGAAAGCCUGAUCCAGCAAUGCCGCGUGAGUGAAGAAGGCCUUCGGGUUGUAAAGCUCUUUUGUCAGGGAAGAAACGGUGAGAGCUAAUAUCUUUUGCUAAUGACGGUACCUGAAGAAUAAGCACCGGCUAACUACGUGCCAGCAGCCGCGGUAAUACGUAGGGUGCAAGCGUUAAUCGGAAUUACUGGGCGUAAAGCGUGCGCAGGCGGUUUUGUAAGUCUGAUGUGAAAUCCCCGGGCUCAACCUGGGAAUUGCAUUGGAGACUGCAAGGCUAGAAUCUGGCAGAGGGGGGUAGAAUUCCACGUGUAGCAGUGAAAUGCGUAGAUAUGUGGAGGAACACCGAUGGCGAAGGCAGCCCCCUGGGUCAAGAUUGACGCUCAUGCACGAAAGCGUGGGGAGCAAACAGGAUUAGAAACCCGGGUAGUCCCAUGA
RNAcentral lists this ribosomal RNA (476 nucleotides) under uncultured organism. RNAcentral describes it as "partial 16S ribosomal RNA". It matches the Rfam family "Bacterial small subunit ribosomal RNA", at positions 333 to 800 of the family's 1533-position model. The record is from RNAcentral.